CUCAUCUGUCCACCUACUUUGCUAGGUAGAUGUCAUGAUUUCAAUGUUCCGCCGAUAUAGAUUCAACAAUUCUCUCUGUAUGCUCAUCUUUAAUUCACGACAUUUUAAGAAUGAUACCACCAACACUGGAGAUUUUGUUGCCCCAGAACCUGAUGUCAUCAUUGUAGGGGCCGGUGUUUUGGGCUCUUCAUUGUCGGCGGUUCUUGGGCGAGAUGGACGCAAGGUUACAGUGAUUGAGAGGAAUCUUAGAGAGCCAGACAGAAUAGUGGGUGAAUUGCUGCAGCCUGGUGGAUAUCGUGCCCUCAAAGAAUUAGGCUUAGAAAAAUCAGUAGAGGAGAUGGAUGCACACAUUGUAUAUGGUUAUAUCAUCCAUGAUGUUGAAAGUAGGAUGGUCGUGGAGAUACCUUACUCACAAGACCAGACUCAAUGUGGCCGAGCUUUCCACCACGGUCGCUUUAUCAUGGGUCUGCGUAGAGCUGCACUGGCGGAGCUGAAUGUGAGGUUCAUUGAAGGCACAGUAACAUACCUUGAAGAAGAAAAUGGCUGUGUCACAGGCAUCCAGUACAAGGACAAACAUUCUGGAAAAAUAAAGAGGUUACGUGCCCCUCUGACAGUGGUGGCAGAUGGAUGUUUUUCAGAAUUCAGAAAGCGUUUGAGCUCGGAAAGGGUUCAGAUCUGUUCCAACUUUGUCGGCUGCAUAAUGAAGAACUCUCCUCAGUAUAAGCCCAACUAUGCUGAACUAGUUCUGAGCUGCCAUGGACCGGUUCUGAUCUACCAGAUCUCCUCCACUGACACACGCGUUCUGGUGGACAUAAGGGGACGUCUCCCCAAAAACCUGAGCCAAUACAUGAUUGAGAAGAUCCAUCCGCAACUGCCAGAUCACUUAAAGGGGCUGUUUUUGUUGGCCGUACAAAACAACCGUCUGAAAUCCAUGCCAGCAAGUUUCCUGCCAUCAUCACCUGUCAAUAAACCAGGAGUCUUGCUUCUUGGAGAUGCUUAUAACAUGAGACAUCCUUUAACUGGAGGAGGGAUGAGCGUAGCACUCAAUGAUGUCAUAAUUUGGAGAAGUCUGCUUCAGAAUGUUCCGGAUCUCAGUGACAACACAGCCUUGUUGCAGGCUAAAAAGAAAUUCCACUGGGAGCGGAAGGUGUCUCAUUCAUUUGUGGUGGAUGUUCUAGCACAGGCACUGCAUGAGUUGUUUGCUUCAAAAGACAAGGGAACUCUUCUACCAUGAGCCAAAUAUUCAUCUUCAAAGACUGGCCUCUUAUAUUCAAUAUUAUAUCUCAGAAGAGCCUGCUUGUGUUAUUUUCAGUUGGGAGGGGAGUGUGUGUCAGGGCCAGUUGGACUGCUAUCUGUGCUGAACCCCCGCCCCGUGACACUGAUCGGUCACUU
RNA transcript from Ctenopharyngodon idella (grass carp), 1392 nucleotides. It is a transcript of the gene named squalene epoxidase b, with no coding region annotated. The record is from RefSeq and is a predicted model, not a curated record. Lineage: Eukaryota; Metazoa; Chordata; Actinopteri; Cypriniformes; Xenocyprididae. The transcript has 12 exons.